UUACAGAGAUACAUUACAGAGAUACAGACACAUUACAGAGAUACAGACACAUUACAGAGUUACAGACACAUUACAGAGACACAUUACAGAGAUACAGACACAUUAUAUAGAUACAGACACAUUACAGAGACAUUAUAUAGAUACAGACACAUUACAGACACAUUACAGAGACAGACACAUUACAGAGAUACAGACACAUUACAGAGACAUUACAGAGAUACAGACACAUUACAGAGAUACAGACACAUUAUAUAGAUACAGAGACAUUACAGAGACACAUUACAGAGAUA
Molecule: long non-coding RNA, 290 nt
Filed under: Salmo salar (Atlantic salmon)
Lineage: Eukaryota; Metazoa; Chordata; Actinopteri; Salmoniformes; Salmonidae
Description: lncRNA (ENSSSAG00000118010.1)
Source: RNAcentral